GACGAACGCUGGCGGCAUGCCUAAUACAUGCAAGUCGAGCGAACAGAUGAAGUGCUUGCACUUCUGACGUUAGCGGCGAACGGGUGAGUAACACGUAAGGAAUCUACCUAUAAGCGGGGGAUAACAUUCGGAAACGGGUGCUAAUACCGCAUAAUAUCUUCUUCCGCAUGGAAGAAGAUUGAAAGACGGCUCUGCUGUCACUUAUAGAUGACCUUGCGGUGCAUUAGUUAGUUGGUGGGGUAAUGGCCUACCAAGACAAUGAUGCAUAGCCGACCUGAGAGGGUGAGCGGCCACAUUGGGACUGAGACACGGCCCAAACUCCUACGGGAGGCAGCAGUAGGGAAUCUUCCGCAAUGGGCGAAAGCCUGACGGAGCAAUGCCGCGUGAGUGAAGAAGGCCUUCGGGUCGUAAAACUCUGUUAUAAGAGAAGAACAAAUUGUAGAGUAACUGCUACAGUCUUGACGGUAUCUUAUCAGAAAGCCACGGCUAACUACGUGCCAGCAGCCGCAGUAA
This 513-nucleotide ribosomal RNA is filed under the name uncultured bacterium. RNAcentral describes it as "partial 16S ribosomal RNA". It matches the Rfam family "Bacterial small subunit ribosomal RNA", at positions 28 to 523 of the family's 1533-position model. The record is from RNAcentral.